UACGUAGGUGGCAAGCGUUGUUCGGAAUUAUUGGGCGUAAAGGGCGCGUAGGCGGUUUGUUAAGUCGGCUGUGAAAGCCCGGGGCUCAACCCCGGAGGGUCAGCCGAUACUGGCAGACUAGAGUACGGAAGAGGUAGCUGGAAUUCCCGGUGUAUCGGUGAAAUGCGUAGAUAUCGGGAGGAACACCUGAGGCGAAGGCGGGCUACUGGGCCGAUACUGACGCUGAUGCGCGAAAGCCAGGGGAGCAAACGGG
Molecule: ribosomal RNA, 253 nt
Filed under: uncultured bacterium
Lineage: Bacteria
Description: partial 16S ribosomal RNA
Rfam family: Bacterial small subunit ribosomal RNA
Source: RNAcentral